CACUUCUCAGGGUCGCACCUGGAGAGUUUCCAUUACUCUACCAGUCUCCACUGCGGGAGGAAGAGUCAAGCAGAGGCCAACCCAUUCCAUUCCUAGCUUGGUCUGUGGCUAGAGAGUGGCGGGCGAUCUGCUACAAGU
Small nucleolar RNA from Ornithorhynchus anatinus (platypus), 138 nucleotides. NCBI's taxonomy places the organism in Eukaryota, Metazoa, Chordata, Mammalia, Monotremata, Ornithorhynchidae. The record is from RefSeq and is a predicted model, not a curated record.